CCUACGGGAGGCAGCAGUGGGGAAUAUUGCACAAUGGGGGGAACCCUGAUGCAGCGACGCCGCGUGAGCGAUGAAGGAAUUCGUUUCGUAAAGCUCUGUCCUUGGAGAAGAUAAUGACGGUAACCAAGGAGGAAGCACCGGCUAAAUACGUGCCAGCAGCCGCGGUAAUACGUAUGGUGCGAGCGUUGUCCGGAAUUAUUGGGCGUAAAGGGUACGUAGGCGGUUAAACAAGUCAGAUGUAAAAACUUGAGGCUCAACCUCAUGUAGCAUUUGAAACUGUAUAACUUGAGUAGUGGAGAGGAAAGUGGAAUUCCUAGUGUAGCGGUGAAAUGCGUAGAUAUUAGGAGGAAUACCAGUAGCGAAGGCGACUUUCUGGACACAAACUGACGCUGAGGUACGAAAGCGUGGGGAGCAAACAGGAUUAGAUACCCUGGUAGUC
Molecule: ribosomal RNA, 439 nt
Filed under: Lagierella massiliensis
Lineage: Bacteria; Bacillati; Bacillota; Tissierellia; Tissierellales; Peptoniphilaceae
Description: bacterial SSU rRNA
Rfam family: Bacterial small subunit ribosomal RNA
Source: RNAcentral